RNAcentral lists this ribosomal RNA (465 nucleotides) under uncultured Klebsiella sp. RNAcentral describes it as "bacterial SSU rRNA". It matches the Rfam family "Bacterial small subunit ribosomal RNA", at positions 338 to 795 of the family's 1533-position model. The record is from RNAcentral. Lineage: Bacteria; Pseudomonadati; Pseudomonadota; Gammaproteobacteria; Enterobacterales; Enterobacteriaceae.
CCUACGGGCGGCUGCAGUGGGGAAUAUUGCACAAUGGGCGCAAGCCUGAUGCAGCCAUGCCGCGUGUGUGAAGAAGGCCUUCGGGUUGUAAAGCACUUUCAGCGGGGAGGAAGGCGGUGAGGUUAAUAACCUCAUCGAUUGACGUUACCCGCAGAAGAAGCACCGACUAACUCCGUGCCAGCAGCCGCGGUAAUACGGAGGGUGCAAGCGUUAAUCGGAAUUACUGGGCGUAAAGCGCACGCAGGCGGUCUGUCAAGUCGGAUGUGAAAUCCCCGGGCUCAACCUGGGAACUGCAUUCGAAACUGGCAGGCUAGAGUCUUGUAGAGGGGGGUAGAAUUCCAGGUGUAGCGGUGAAAUGCGUAGAGAUCUGGAGGAAUACCGGUGGCGAAGGCGGCCCCCUGGACAAAGACUGACGCUCAGGUGCGAAAGCGUGGGGAGCAAACAGGAUUAGAUACCCUAGUAGUC